AAGUGGAUUAGCGGCGGACGGGUGAGUAACACGUGAGUAACCUGCCUUAGACAUUGGGAUAGCCUCGGGAAACCGGGAUUAAUACCAAAUAAAAUCAUAAUGACACAUGUCAUAACGAUCAAAAUCCGGUGGUCUAAGAUGGACUCGCGUCCCAUUAGCUAGUUGGUAGAGUAAAAGCCUACCAAGGCGACGAUGGGUAGCCGGCCUGAGAGGGUGAACGGCCACAUUGGAACUGAGAAACGGUCCAA
This 248-nucleotide ribosomal RNA is filed under the name uncultured Eubacteriales bacterium. Its description in RNAcentral is "uncultured Clostridiales bacterium partial 16S ribosomal RNA". It matches the Rfam family "Bacterial small subunit ribosomal RNA", at positions 85 to 334 of the family's 1533-position model. Lineage: Bacteria; Bacillati; Bacillota; Clostridia; Eubacteriales. The record is from RNAcentral.